AUGGCUCACUACAAAGAUGAUAUCAAGUAUGAAGAGGGCUUCACCCUGAAUUCACGAGGCAGCAGGCUCUUCACCUGCAAAUGGACGCCCAAGAAACAACAGCGCAAGGCUCUGAUCUUCAUCUGCCAUGGUUAUGGAGGAGAGUGCAGCAUAUCGAUGGCAGACACCGCCGCGCGACUGGUGCACGCCGGCUACGCCGUCCACGGGAUAGACCAAGAGGGCCACGGCAAGUCCUCCGGCUCCAAGGGCUACAUAUCGAGCUUCGGCGACAUCGUCAAGGACUGCUCCGACUACUUCAAGAGCGUCUGCGAGAAGCCGGAGAACAAGACGAAGAAGAGGUUCCUCUACGGCUUCUCCAUGGGAGGCACCGUGGCGCUUCAGGUCCACAGGAAGGACUCCAUGUACUGGGACGGCGCCGUCUUGCUCGCUCCCAUGGUCAAGCUUGGUGAUGGCAUGCGGCCUCAUCCGGUGGUGGUGAGCGCUCUCAAGAUGAUCUGCGCCGUCGUGCCUAGCUGGAGGGUCAUCCCUGCUCCAGAUCAGCUCGACAAAGUCUGCAAAGAUCCCCAGUUCAAGAAAGAGAUUCGUUCCAACCCAUACAUGUACAAGGGAAACCUCGCGCUGCAGACAGGCCACGAACUCCUCGCGGUCAGCUUAGACAUUGAGAAGAACAUGCACGAGGUCACUUUGCCGUUCUUGGUGCUGCAAGGGGAGGACGACGUGGUGGCCGAUCCUGAGGGGAGCAGGCUGCUACACGAGCGGGCAUCGAGCAGGGACAAGACCUUGAAGCUGUACCCCGGGAUGUGGCACGUUCUCAUGGCUGAGCCGCCGGCCGACGUGGAGCGGAUCUUCACAGAUGUGAUUUCGUGGCUCGAGGAGAGGGCGGCGAGCACCGUCAAGUGA
Molecule: ribosomal RNA, 900 nt
Filed under: Triticum aestivum (bread wheat)
Lineage: Eukaryota; Viridiplantae; Streptophyta; Magnoliopsida; Poales; Poaceae
Description: partial small subunit ribosomal RNA
Source: RNAcentral